GGAAUCAAGAGCUCCAAGUGGGCCACCUUCUCUAAUCACUGAACCUUUGAUUUCUAUUGUUCGAAAAGAUUGCAACUGGAGAAGUGACGCGCUAACCUAGAUCCCACAAAGGGUGUUGGUUGAUUAAGAAAGCAGGACGGUGGUCAUGGAAGUCGAAAUCCACUAAGGAGUGUGUAACAACUCACUUGUCGAAUCAACUAGCCCCGAAAAUGGAUGGCGCUUAAGCGCGCGACCUACACCCGGUCGUCGGGGCAAGUGCCAGGCCCCGAUGAGUAAGAGGGCGCGGCGGUCGCUCUUCGUAUAGUGAUCCCUAAUCCAAACCAAAGAAUAUCUU
Non-coding RNA from Nicotiana sylvestris (wood tobacco), 334 nucleotides. The record is from Rfam. NCBI's taxonomy places the organism in Eukaryota, Viridiplantae, Streptophyta, Magnoliopsida, Solanales, Solanaceae.